AACGAACGCUGGCGGCAUGCCUAACACAUGCAAGUCGAACGAGACCUUCGGGUCUAGUGGCGCACGGGUGCGUAACGCGUGGGAAUCUACCCUUGGGUUCGGAAUAACAGUUAGAAAUGACUGCUAAUACCGGAUGUUGACGUAAGUCCAAAGAUUUAUCGCCCAAGGAUGAGCCCGCGUAAGAUUAGCUUGUUGGUGGGGUAAUGGCCUACCAAGGCGACGAUCUUUAGCUGGUCGGAGAGGAUGAUCAGCCACACUGGGACUGAGACACGGCCCAGACUCCUACGGGAGGCAGCAGUGGGGAAUAUUGGACAAUGGGCGAAAGCCUGAUCCAGCAAUGCCGCGUGAGUGAUGAAGGCCUUAGGGUUGUAAAGCUCUUUUACCAGGGAUGAUAAUGACAGUACCUGGAGAAUAAGCUCCGGCUAACUCCGUGCCAGCCGCCGCAGUAA
This 449-nucleotide ribosomal RNA is filed under the name uncultured bacterium. RNAcentral's name for it is "partial 16S ribosomal RNA". It matches the Rfam family "Bacterial small subunit ribosomal RNA", at positions 29 to 523 of the family's 1533-position model. The record is from RNAcentral.